RNAcentral lists this ribosomal RNA (301 nucleotides) under uncultured bacterium. Its description in RNAcentral is "partial 16S ribosomal RNA". It matches the Rfam family "Bacterial small subunit ribosomal RNA", at positions 509 to 807 of the family's 1533-position model. The record is from RNAcentral.
CAGUAGCCGCGGUAAUACGUAGGGUGCAAGCGUUAAUCGGAAUUACUGGGCGUAAAGCGUGCGCAGGCGGUUCGGAAAGAAAGAUGUGAAAUCCCAGGGCUCAACCUCGGAACUGCAUUUUUAACUACCGGACUAGAGUAUGUCAGAGGGAGGUGGAAUUCCACGUGUAGCAGUGAAAUGCGUAGAUAUGUGGAGGAACACCGAUGGCGAAGGCAGCCUCCUGGGAUAAUACUGACGCUCAUGCACGAGAGCGUGGGGAGCAAACAGGAUUAGAUACCCCAGUAGUCCCUGUCUCUUAUAC